GACGAACGCUGGCGGCGUGCUUAACACAUGCAAGUCGAACGGAAAGGCCCUGCUUUUGUUGGGUGCUCGAGUGGCGAACGGGUGAGUAACACGUGAGUAACCUGCCCUUGACUUUGGGAUAACUUCAGGAAACUGGGGCUAAUACCGGAUAGGAGCUCCUGCUGCAUGGUGGGGGUUGGAAAGUUUCGGCGGUUGGGGAUGGACUCGCGGCUUAUCAGCUUGUUGGUGGGGUAGUGGCUUACCAAGGCUUUGACGGGUAGCCGGCCUGAGAGGGUGACCGGCCACAUUGGGACUGAGAGACGGCCCAGACGCCUACGGGAGGCAGCAGUGGGGAAUAUUGCACAAUGGGCGGAAGCCUGAUGCAGCAACGCCGCGUGCGGGAUGACGGCCUUCGGGUUGUAAACCGAUUUCGCCUGUGACGAAGCGUGAGUGACGGUAAUGGGUAAAGAAGCACCGGCUAACUACGUG
Molecule: ribosomal RNA, 468 nt
Filed under: uncultured bacterium
Lineage: Bacteria
Description: partial 16S ribosomal RNA
Rfam family: Bacterial small subunit ribosomal RNA
Source: RNAcentral